GUUCAUCACUCCAAAGUUUUGGAUAAUGUAUGAUCUGACGGUCAGACAAAGGGGAGUAUCAUUCUUUAUUUCAUCACCCUCUGAUGAGCUUCUCUCUAUCUAGUCUCUGAAUUUUGAAAAAAUCCCAUGAGACUGCAUUCGUAACUCAGAUUCCAAAAUGUCCUAUUAGUUCAUUUUUUCCCCACGGAGUUAGAAAAGACAUAGAUUUCCCAAAGGGAGGGGGGGAAAAAAAAGGUUUGCUUUUGAGAAGCUACAAAAAACUCUUUGCUAUAUCUGAAUAGGUGAUUGAAUAGGUAGCUGUUAGAUCUGCUGCUGUCUUGACUAGGAAAAAUGUCAGCAACGCCACCUUUUAUGCAGGAGUAACACCUGCAAUUUGAUAACAACAGACUGAACAUCUAAUUACCUUGUGUAUGAACUGCAGUGGUUUUACAUCUUUUAUAAGAGAUAUGUGUUAAGAUACUUUUGACAUUUUCCUUCUAGGUUCUUCCAAGUGCAACUCAUCCUGUACAGUAUCUGUCCACACAGAGUUGGAGCAAGAUGCAGAUCUCAGUUCUACCAGUGGAAAUUAGGAGAAACUCCACUGAUAUCUACAAAGUUACGUUAGUGUAAAACUGACCUGAGUGAGAUCAGAAUUAGUCCUUUGUUCUUUACAUCUUUUUGAGAGACCUUUAAUAGUGGUAAAAACUUGAUUAAAAACAUUCAAGAAAAAUUUUAGAGAUGGUCCUGAACCAAAACCCAGAUCCAAACAUCCUUAAAAUGUAAGGAAGCUCAGAUCUAAAUCCCAUCUGUUGGCCAUGGUUAUUUGUGGUUCACCACAUCUUCUUAAUCCAAGAGACAGUGCUCUGUAUAUAGUAUAUUUAGAAUGCAAUAGUGGAAGGGAAAAAAGUAUAAACACUCUGAGGCAGAUCCAUUUGAAAUCAAUGGAGCUAUGCCAGUUUAUACCAUCUGAGGAUUUACCCCUUUGCAUUUAUGUAGUGUGAGUAAAACAAUGCUCAUUUCCCCCCUCAAAGCCAUAGUAGAAAGGGGCUGAGGAGAUUUUGUGUCUGGGCUGGUAAGUUUCCAGGAGAGUUUUGCAAAACUGAAUUAGCACAUGCUGAUCAAACAGUUUAUCAAACCCCUUUAAAUUUACCGGUCCAAAUUGUAACUGGCUCUCCAUAGUGUGCAAAGCGUUGAGAGUUGAGGAUCCAGGAAUCUUCCCCCUCUAUUUUUUCGUGGACAAUGUGGCUGGGGACAACUGAUGCUGCUCCAUGCUAGCACCAGCAGUGGCACUAGCUAUUAGAGGGGUAAAGGAAACGAGGGUGGGACCAUGCCUCACUGCCUCCUGAAUCUGGGCUGCACAGCACACACUGGAUCUAUUUAAAGGGCGGCACAGCCGCUGCAUGCACUCCCCAGGAAGAAUUAUCUCUGAUUCAGGCAGAAAGGGGCAGCAAAGGAUCCCCCAGGGAACACUGGGGUUGCACAAAGCACAAGUAGUCAACUUUACACCACAGGCUGUGCCUCCCCUCCAAUCGCUGGGUAAGAGUGCGCUGGGCAUGGAUAGGUGUGUAUUUUGGGGAAGGUCAGAGUGCAUGGUAUCUCCCAGAUCUUCAGCUGGAACAGCAGCUAACUGCAUUCCUAAGUCUGCUUUCAGUUAUGCCAGUGGGCGUUUUGGCUUCUGGCUAGCUCAGGACUGGGGGGAACAGAAAGGUGGCUUUUAGUUUUAGCCAUACCUCCCACCAGCUGCAAUCCCAGAAUUCCUCUUGGAGACUCCUUUGAUUCAGCCUCACUGCUGUUUCCAUAACACAAGACUGUGUCUUUGGUCCAUGGGUUGUUCUCUUCAAGGACUGGAUAAUAAGGUCUGUAGAUUUACUGUGCAACUCUCCAAUGGAAACAAACUAACAACAACAACAACAGUGUACAAGGCAAGAGGGAGAGUGGAAGAAAUCCCUCAGAUAGAUUUCAUAUGCCAAAUCUAAUACUGAAAUAUAGGUGCUUGUCUAGCACAGGAGCUCUGCUCAGCAGAGCAAUUGUACAAAUUGUCUCUGUCUAACGACAAUAAAAGACCUGAAUCUAUGUAUUUCCAGGGCAAUCUAAAAUCUGAGUUUAAUAUAUUGCACUUUCAUUUCUGGGCCUAAUGCAAUUGUAUAAAAGUCAUUUUGUUUAAAAGAACACUUUGCUGCAGAUACUGAAGUGCAAAGGGAUGGCUUAGAAUGUUGCUGGCCAUUCCUUAGAAGAAGAGUUGGCUAGAGAAAUUCAACUAGGGAAGUUCAUCAACACUUAUUUUUACACUAUGGUAGCAAAUUUCUUAUUCUAUGCUUAUUAUUAUUCUGAUUAUUGCCCCUCUGGCCCAAGCAGUUAGCCAAAAUUUGAGGCCUUGCCGGGUUGCUUCUAUUAGGAUUAGAAAUUGGUGACAUGACAGGUAUAUUCACAAUGUAAUCAUGUUUGUUUUAAAAUGGUGCAAAAAGUCAUUUUUCUCUGCCAGUAGAAACCAAUAUCAACAGACCAUUCCUUGCUCAGAAAUCCCCAAAUCAGCUACUCCAGUGAACUCUGUGCCCAAACAAUCCAUGUCCCUUAGCUUCUUCUCAGGGUCACACUCACAACUGUUUCUCCUGGCUUUCACUGACUCCAACAUACACAGUCUACACCUGCCAUGCCUAAGGCAAUUGCUUGCUCCAUGGAUCCCAGUUGUUUUUACUAAAUAAAGAGCCUUCAUUGCUCCUGUUGAGCCUGAAAGAGUUAUACAUGGCACACCCAUUGGCUUUAAUGAGAUCUGUGAUUGUCUUUGCAUUCAAGACACCUGCUGGUGGCCAUUAGCCCCUUUCAGAAUAACAUUAUAUUGAGUAUUUAUAUUCAAGUAGAACCCAGAGACCCUGAUCAGGAGCUAUAUAAACACAAAGGAAGACCUUCUUCCUACUUCAAGUGAAGGGAUAAAAUCAAAAUAGAAAUACCUUUAUAUCUUAAAGGGCCUCAGUGUGGCCCUUAUUACUUGGCUGAUCUGAUUUUGGAAAUCACCUAAAAAAUCCAGAGGCGUCUUUGAUAUACAAAAACCCUUCAAAAAUCUCUAUGAAGGCUCUGAGAGCCUUCUUUAAGAUGCUGAGUGACCUCAACUCCCACUGAAGUCCACACCUGGCGGGCUGACUUCCUCCCUUCCAUAAAAUAACAACUAAAAAAACAACAACCCACCCUAGACUAAUUAUAAUCUGAGAAAUACAGUGAGGUACAAAUUAAUUGCCAUGCUGUGGGAUAGCCAUGAUGUAGUUACCACUGUUCCCCAAUAGUAAUAUUGCAGCUACUUUAUUGUAAUUCACAGUGAGCCACCAGAAUCUGCAGUCAAUUCACUGUCAAUCCGUGGUAUAUUUCAUGGCUGCUAAUGUGUAUCACCAGGUUAUUUCCUCUCUUCAUCUCUCUCUUCACAGAAUCUUCCUAGCAAGCAAUGUCAAAAUGCUCUGCAACAGUGAAUUUUUAAAAAGUUUGACUCGAGAAGCAGGUGUUAUAGUUAGAUGUAAAUCUUUGUAAGCUCUUCCAAGAAGAACUACAGAAAGGAGAAUUUUGGAGGUGUCAUACCAGGGGAGCAUAGUGUGAUUAACCUAUCAAGUUUUCAUGUGAGGAAUAAAGAAAAGGCCAUAAGAAAUGGAAGGUUAUAUGUCCUGGAAACAAAUUUGGACCCAUCUACCCAUAGCAUUAUUUAAAAGCUGCAGAAUCUUGCACUGAACCUCAUAUUCCACCAAUAACCAGUAUUCAAUACUCAGUAUAGUAGCCAUGUCUUAGAAAUUGGUGAAAGAUCCACAGAUCUGAUACCUUGGAAGGUAUUCCUCAUGAAAGAAAGUGAUAAGGAAUGCAUGUCCCAGAGCUUCAAUGGGCACAGAAAAGAAUAUUGCAAUAAUUUCAUCCGACAUUUCACAUAGUGCCCUUCACUCCACAAUCACCCUGGGGAGGAAUCCCUCCCUAUGAUGGCACAACACUGAAAGAUUCCCCAAAGGCAAUAUACAGAGUCAGUAUGCAAAGACAUAAAUGCACUAUUUCUGGGCUCUGAACUAGAAAAUACGUUUUACUGACUAUCACAGUUUCCCCUCUCUUGAAAGAGCUGCAUUUAUACCUGAAUUCAACAUGGUACCUAAGCAUGUGUGCAACUUUUGGCAUAUGAGCAAUCCCAUUCACAUCCAAGUGUUAUGCAGAUACCUGCACUCUAAAUUGCCCAAGUCUACAAAUGUCCAGCUUAAAAAGAUAUAUAAAAUUGUUUAGAAAAAAGAUUACGAGAGAGAGAGUGGAUUAGUUCAAACUGAUACCACCGUAAGGAUUGUGUUGAGAUCUUGACUGUUGAAUAACAGGAGAAUGGAAACAGAAAUUAAUGGACCAAAACUGAUAUGUUGGGAAUUAGGCCUAAUUUGUGUAAAAAUAAUGAAGGGAUUUGUAGAUUCCCAGGCCAGAAGGGACUACUGUGAUCAUUUAAUCUGAUCAUCUAUAUAACACAGGCCAUAGAAUGUAUCCAAAAUAGUUCCUAGUGCAUAUUUUACUAGGGUUGGUGGUGGAGUCUAACUCUCCAGGGUUUGUGGCCCAGGUCAGUGGAGGAUCCAUGAAGACAAUGGCAAAUCCAAUCAGUGGGACAUUUACUACUUAACAAUUAACAACUCUGGAUGAAGAAAAGGAGUACUCGUGGCACAUUAGAGACUAACAAAUUUAUUAGAGCAUAAGCUUUCGUGGGCUACAGCCCACUUCAUCGGAUGAAUAGAAUGGAACAUAUAGUAAGAACACACACACACACACACAUACAGAGAAGGUGGAAGUUGCCAUACAAACGGUAAGAGGCUAAUUAAUUAAGAUGAACCCAACUCUGGAUGGCCCAUCUUUCCUGGAAGCCAGCCAUGUUUGACCAGCUGGACAACAAAGCAUGAGGAAGGGCCAGGUGAGACUAGCUCAGGAAUUUGAAAAAGAGGACAGAGGGACAGAGCAGAAGCCAAGGGUGGACACUGUUUGGCUGGGGCUCUGGGUAUCCAGAAUGGACCAUGCUAUAACUUUCUUUUCUCUGUGCUGACCAAGAACUUUCUAUGCUGUGAUCCUGACAUCUAAUAAACUCUACUGCUUUUACAACACUGGCUGAGAGUCACUGCAGCUGCUGAAGGUGGCAGUGUUUUGCUCCCUUUGGCUGUACAAGCAGUGGUGGAUUAGCCAUUGGGCCAACGGAGCCCGUGCCCAGGGGGACCAGCCAACUGAGGGUUCCUCCAGAAAAAUGGGUGGCCCUGUGCUCCAACCUGCUCUGCCCAUCGCCGGGGAGUAGGGGAAGCCCCUGCAUCCUGAUCUCACUCCCUGACAGGAGUGCCAGGGGACUGCAGGCAGAAGGGAUAGGGAGGGACCCCCGCUUGCUUUGGUGCAGGGCCCGACAACCUCCUAAUCCGCCUCUGUGUACAAGUCUCUCUCAGGUGCCUAACUCGGGUGGACUGACUGAAGGGAGCUCAUGGUGUGAAGCAGGGGCUCUGAAGGCGCCGAGAUUUAGUCCAAGGGAUCUGGAAGGCCACUUACCUACAUGGCCCAUUACAGAGGAACAUGUGCUGCAGUAAAUGGUAUUGUUAGUAACUCGACAACUGGUGUCCUCAACUAUCUCCAAUCACCUAUCAGCCCUGACAUUUAUGCAGGAAGACAGGCCAGGCAGAUUGUUCUGUGGAUCUGUGGGCACAGUAUUGCUUUCUGGGUACAUAGGCAUGCUUCCAGGUUCACAACUCGGUCUCAGUAAUGAAUCUGUCCUGAGAUGGCAUGGAAGAAGGGGUGUAUUAUGGAACCAGCUGAUGCGCCUUCUGUACACCGUAGUGGCCUGGAACUCUCUGAGAGAGCAGAUGGUCCUGAGUUUCAAGCCAUGAAUCACUGUCAUGGACUCUCUUCAAGCUGUCUUAUAGUACGUGGAGUUGAAAAAC
Chelonia mydas (Green sea turtle) is the source of this 5885-nucleotide long non-coding RNA. RefSeq lists it as uncharacterized. The record is from RefSeq and is a predicted model, not a curated record. The transcript is spliced from 4 exons. NCBI's taxonomy places the organism in Eukaryota, Metazoa, Chordata, Testudines, Cheloniidae.